Molecule: long non-coding RNA, 2705 nt
Organism: Esox lucius (northern pike)
Lineage: Eukaryota; Metazoa; Chordata; Actinopteri; Esociformes; Esocidae
Source: Ensembl
CUCCAUUAGGAAUGUCUGUGAUCCUCAGCAACUUGGGAAUAGUUAACUGAGUUGACCCCAAGCUGGAAAACGGAGUCUAGGAUGGAGAAAAAUUUCUGACAAAGAGUAUCUUUGUCAUGAAGGCCUGUGACAUUGUGUAUGUGUGUUAGAGCAUAAUAUGCGCCUGUGUGUGUGUGUAUGUGCGUGUGUCACUACAGAACUAAAUUAGGCUGUGUGAUGGACUUAGUACCAGACAUGUUAAGUUUUUCCGCAUAAAACCCUGGAUAGCCAAUCAGCUGCUUGCACAAAGGAAGGAGAAUUACAAUAAAAUUUUUCUUUGGCAAAGCAAUUCCAGCGGUCUUCAGCCACCACACUCUCGCCCAUAACCUCUUCACCUCUCCACUCCUCUCUUUACCUCCUGCCAAUCUUUUCAAUCUUCCCCCUGUUUCUUCUUGUCCGUUGUCUCCGAUUUUCUCAGUCCUUCUUCCCGUCUUUGUCAGGCUGCUCUUGUGGGGGACAUGAACGGGAGGACAUGAGCGUGGUGGAAAAACGCAGACAUGGUUCAGAUCCAGACAGAUGGAAUGACUGACACACAGACAGAUCGACAGAAAGAUGGACAGCUGGACAAUUGGACAGGCUGGUCAUUAGACUGCUAUGGCUAUCAUCAGCUGCAAAGAGUGUUAAACAGAUAGCCAUACACUUACCUCUCUCUACCUUUCCCUCUCCCCUCUCUCUCUCUUUUGCACAUAUAUCUCUCCUCCCUUCUCUUGCUCCCUCUCUCUCUGUCUCUCUUACAAAUUAAAGUUGUCUCUCCUCCUCUCCUAGAUUCCCAUCUUGAACUACUGUAUCUCUUCUUGUACAUCCCUGUCUUCAUCUGUUGGAGUUCACUACCAUUUUUGAUGUCGACUCCGCUGUCCUUCCCGGGUUCUACUCUUCAUCUCUUAGUCCCUCUCUCGCAGUGAUUAGGGAGCCUUAAAGAACGCUGAUCCACACUUCUGUAGUGCUCUUCUGUAAUCAAGGCUUUGAGCUGAGGAGUGGAGCGGUUGGCGCCGGGCGACUGUUGUCUUCUCUCUUAACAAGUGUUUUCAUCCAGCCUCUUCUGUUCCUUCACACGUGUUUAUAUCCUUGUAUCAAUUUAUGUAUUUUUUUUGUCUCUAGCUCUCCCUCUAAGAAGUCUUGGUUACACCUCUCAUGGAGAAAAACAGAGUCCUCCACAGACACAUUAAAAUUCUCAAUGACCCAAUAGAACAGCCGUGGCCAUUAGCCGACGUCUGCCGAGGAGGGUGUUUGUGACGUGCUGGGACAAUGUUUGCUGUGCCACACAGACACGAAAGCCGUGGCAUCGGUCAUCUUCACAUGCAGAUCCCUGGAUGUGCAUGUCAUUGCCUCUCCAACCCUACACCCAGCAGAAGAUGUGUCCCCUGAGAUUCACUGCAUGGUUUCCCUGUUCGGACAGUCCCAGAGGGAGUUGCUUCAGAUAUGUGGUUGCCAUGGCACCGAGAGGCCUGGCAGAGAGCUCAUUCCUUGAAAUUUGAAAUCGAGACUCAUCAGACCAGGCAACAUUCUUCCAGUCUUCAACUGUCCAAUUUUGAACACGUCACUGUUCUGCUUUAACUACUGCAGAACACUUCCACUACUGUUGAAGAUCCGGCAAAAGAGGGAAACGCUCAUUAGAAAAUACUAACUAGUUCCUGGCACCACACAGCUGCUGCCCCAUGUCCUCUCAUUAAAGGCUGUAUACCUUCCAGACUAAUGGCUGAUUACGGGCCCAUAACGGUCCUUCGUCCCUCCUUUGGGGUCGGAAUGGGACUCAUAAGCCCAAUUGUUGUGGAUUCAUUCAUGUUUUAGGGUAAUUUAUCAUGUUAAUUGUGUUUAUUAUGUACGGUUACAUGCAAGAUUCUUGGGUUCACACUAUAGACGGUACUCUCCAUAUCAGUAUAUGUGUAAUUUACAUAUUAUAUACUGCACCAGCAUUGGGUCAACGACCCGGGGGAGAACCCCCUGGCAUGUGGCUCAGCUGUUGUUUUAGAAAACACUUUGACUGCCAUGCCUUGAUGAGGUACACUAGCCCCCAAUCAGGGAGGAUAAAAGGGCCCUAGAAAAGCAGCUAUGGGCAACAGAGGAAGAAGGGAAGAGUAUGAUGCUGUACCCUGCUUUUGUUUUAUUCCUCUGUACCAUUUCUUUUAAUAAAACCCCCUUCAGAGCACCAGAACACAGAGGCACUGUGUCCAUUCCCUGUCUCUCCAAUACACACACAAACAAAUAAUAACACUUACUGUGUAAUAAAGGACAUAAAAGGGAUCAGUGUACUCAAUAUGUGUACCAGUUUUACUAGAUUGCUUUAUGGCCAAAAUGCUGAUGCCUUGCUGCUCUGCUCUUUAACUUUCCACCUAGUGCUCCUUCUCUCUAUAAAGUGUGGCUCACUAAAUAAAGGCUGGAGACAGUUUUACAAGGAGAGAGGAGAAGAGGAUGUGAAUGGCACACAGGGACGCACACAGCAGAUAGCAGCUCCGGCACUGAACUUCAGCACACAGUCAUCCAUCACUGCAGCAUCGGGGCCGUCAGGGCCCAUAGCCGGGGGCCGUCAGGGUGGGGCCGGGGCAGAUGGGUAGGGAGGAAGCAGCCCUCGGUCCUCUAGCGGCCCGGCCAGAACUGCAGAGUGAGACGGGGCAGGAGGUGUGAUGUGUACUGACACACACAUACACACACACACACACACAACCACA